Molecule: long non-coding RNA, 549 nt
Organism: Gigantopelta aegis
Lineage: Eukaryota; Metazoa; Mollusca; Gastropoda; Neomphalida; Peltospiridae
Exons: 5
Source: RefSeq, a predicted model, not a curated record
CUUGAUUACUCGACUGAUAGAACUGAUUGCAUUAACACUUCUCAGUCACACGUUCCGAAUUGUACUGCUAUAAAGCAAUACAUCAGCAGUGUGGACUUCACCAUUAGUUUACACGACGCAGCAUCGGACCACGAUUAAGAUGAAGUUCCCACUGUUGCUGAUAUUGUUUGUCGCUCUCACUGUAAACGUUGAGGCGAAAAAAAUUAAGAUCAAUUGGAGAAAGGUUUGGAAAGUCGUAAAGGAUGUCUUAAUUGCUGUUCUUUCCCGUAAGCGAGAUAUCUCUACUAUUGACCGAAACAAUGACGGGUUUGUGCACCUAUCAGAGUUAGAAGAAGCGUUCGACACGCGCCAGGCACGAGACAUCUUAGAAAUGGCGGACGAAGACGGAAACUCUGACGUCACUGUGGAUGAGUUUCAAAAGUUCAUGACAGACCUCAGCAAAGUGGAAUGAAAAGAGAUCCAAACAGGUUUCUAACUGAGCUUGAAGAAUGAAUUAUUGUUAAUGAGAUUCUCACUGUCUAGACAGAAAUAAAAUUUACAAAACCAGAA